AAGGAAUAUUGGUCAAUGGACGCAAGUCUGAACCAGCCAUGCCGCGUGAAGGAUGAAGGUCCUCUGGAUUGUAAACUUCUUUUAUCUGGGACGAAAACGGGAUUUUUAUCUCAAUUGACGGUACCAGAGGAAUAAGCACCGGCUAACUCCGUGCCAGCAGCCGCGGUAAUACGGAGGGUGCGAGCGUUAUCCGGAUUUACUGGGUUUAAAGGGUGCGUAGGUGGGCUUAUAAGUCAGUGGUGAAAUCUCCGAGCUUAACUUGGAAACUGCCGUUGAUACUAUAGGUCUUGAAUUAUCUGGAGGUAAGCGGAAUAUGUCAUGUAGCGGUGAAAUGCUUAGAUAUGACAUAGAACACCAAUUGCGAAGGCAGCUUACUACAUAUAAAUUGACGCUGUGGCACGAAAGCGUGGGGAUCAAACA
RNAcentral lists this ribosomal RNA (420 nucleotides) under uncultured bacterium. RNAcentral's name for it is "bacterial SSU rRNA". It matches the Rfam family "Bacterial small subunit ribosomal RNA", at positions 356 to 774 of the family's 1533-position model. The record is from RNAcentral.